RNAcentral lists this microRNA precursor (279 nucleotides) under Physcomitrium patens. RNAcentral describes it as "Physcomitrella patens miR534b stem-loop (ppt-MIR534b)". Its record names the gene ppt-MIR534b. Lineage: Eukaryota; Viridiplantae; Streptophyta; Bryopsida; Funariales; Funariaceae. The record is from miRBase by way of RNAcentral.
GCACUCAUGUAUGCAACUUGUAUGGACAGAGUGACUAGUCUAGUGUUCACGAGUGCCAAUUUUUGGAUGCCUUCUAUUGCUGUGCUGGUCUGUGAGGCGGCGUAACUCCUUGUUUUGCAACAGUUGACAGUGCACAAAGUAUAUGUGUGGCUGGUGACGUGCGACGCAUUGGGUAAGAUCUAUGUCUCUUCAGUGCGCGGGGAAGUUUGUCCGCCGACGGCAUUCAGAUUGCUAAACUAGACUCGUCAGUAUGUCCAUUACAGUUGCAUACUUGUGUGG